RNAcentral lists this ribosomal RNA (1313 nucleotides) under uncultured Bacillus sp. Its description in RNAcentral is "bacterial SSU rRNA". It matches the Rfam family "Bacterial small subunit ribosomal RNA", at positions 56 to 1345 of the family's 1533-position model. The record is from RNAcentral. Lineage: Bacteria; Bacillati; Bacillota; Bacilli; Caryophanales; Bacillaceae.
UGCAGUCGAGCGAUGGAUUAGAGCUUGCUCUUAUGAAGUUAGCGGCGGACGGGUGAGUAACACGUGGGUAACCUGCCCAUAAGACUGGGAUAACUCCGGGAAACCGGGGCUAAUACCGGAUAACAUUUUGAACCGCAUGGUUCGAAAUUGAAAGGCGGCUUCGGCUGUCACUUAUGGAUGGACCCGCGUCGCAUUAGCUAGUUGGUGAGGUAACGGCUCACCAAGGCAACGAUGCGUAGCCGACCUGAGAGGGUGAUCGGCCACACUGGGACUGAGACACGGCCCAGACUCCUACGGGAGGCAGCAGUAGGGAAUCUUCCGCAAUGGACGAAAGUCUGACGGAGCAACGCCGCGUGAGUGAUGAAGGCUUUCGGGUCGUAAAACUCUGUUGUUAGGGAAGAACAAGUGCUAGUUGAAUAAGCUGGUCACCUUGACGGUACCUAACCAGAAAGCCACGGCUAACUACGUGGCCAGCAGCCGCGGUAAUACGUAGGUGGCAAGCGUUAUCCGGAACUUAUUGGGCCGUAAAGCGCGCGCAGGGUGGUUUCUUAAAGUCUGAUGUGAAAGCCCACGGCUCAACCCGUGGAGGGUCAUUGGAAACUGGGAGACUUGAGUGCAGAAGAGGAAAGUGGAAUUCCAUGUGUAGCGGUGAAAUGCGUAGAGAUAUGGAGGAACACCAGUGGCGAAGGCGACUUUCUGGUCUGUAACUGACACUGAGGCGCGAAAGCGUGGGGAGCAAACAGGAUUAGAUACCGUGGUAGUCCACGCCGUAAACGAUGAGUGCUAAGUGUUAGAGGGUUUCCGCCCUUUAGUGCUGAAGUUAACGCAUUAAGCACUCCGCCUGGGGAGUACGGCCGCAAGGCUGAAACUCAAAGGAAUUGACGGGKGCCCGCCACAAGCGGUGKAGCAUGUGGUUUAAUUCGAAGCAACGCGAAGAACCUUACCAGGUCUUGACAUCCUCUGACAACCCUAGAGAUAGGGCUUCUCCUUCGGGAGCAGAGUGACAGGUGGUGCAUGGUUGUCGUCAGCUCGUGUCGUGAGAUGUUGGGUUAAGUCCCGCAACGAGCGCAACCCUUGAUCUUAGUUGCCAUCAUUAAGUUGGGCACUCUAAGGUGACUGCCGGUGACAAACCGGAGGAAGGUGGGGAUGACGUCAAAUCAUCAUGCCCCUUAUGACCUGGGCUACACACGUGCUACAAUGGACGGUACAAAGAGCUGCAAGACCGCGAGGUGGAGCUAAUCUCAUAAAACCGUUCUCAGUUCGGAUUGUAGGCUGCAACUCGCCUACAUGAAGCUGGAAUCGCUAGUAAUCGC